UGGGGAAUAUUGGACAAUGGGCGAAAGCCUGAUCCAGCCAUGCCGCGUGGGUGAAGAAGGCCCUAGGGUUGUAAAGCCCUUUUCCCGGGGACGAUGGUGACGGUACCCGGGGAACAAGCACCGGCCAACUCCGUGCCAGCAGCCGCGGUAAGACGGAGGGUGCGAGCGUUGUUCGGAAUCACUGGGCGUAAAGGGCGCGUAGGCGGCCGCGCGUGUCGGGUGUGAAAGCCCGGGGCGCAACCCCGGAAC
Molecule: ribosomal RNA, 249 nt
Filed under: uncultured Rhodospirillales bacterium
Lineage: Bacteria; Pseudomonadati; Pseudomonadota; Alphaproteobacteria; Rhodospirillales
Description: partial 16S ribosomal RNA
Rfam family: Bacterial small subunit ribosomal RNA
Source: RNAcentral